This 1346-nucleotide long non-coding RNA is filed under the name Takifugu rubripes (torafugu). RNAcentral describes it as "lncRNA (ENSTRUG00000026210.1)". The record is from RNAcentral. Lineage: Eukaryota; Metazoa; Chordata; Actinopteri; Tetraodontiformes; Tetraodontidae.
GCACAAAUGAGCAGCAGCUGAGUAAGGUGGUGCACAAAAUAAGUCAGCCCUGCCUGCCUUUGUAACAGAGGAAGAAAGAAAAAGAUGCAGGCAGGAAAAACAAACAACACAAACAGUCCAACACUAACAUAUUCUCUGUUUCCUUUCUUCGUGCCAUUGGUGUAAAUUGUCUCGUCUCUUCUGCUUAACCACUGUAUUCCUUUCGGGCGUCAUGGGGAGGGUACACAAUGAGCAAAGGCAGGGUUUACCCCUGGAUGAGUCACCCAUUCAUCGCAGGGCCCUAUAUCAGCAUAUCAGCAUUCUUUAUUUCAGUUUCUAGGAAAGCUGUAAGGUCAUUUGUAAUGCUCCCCUUCCUGAAUCCACUCUGGACAAUAAUCUCUGUUUCUCUAUAUGAUAGAUCAUUCUAUAUAUUAUCAUCCUUUCUAUGAUCCUUGCUAUGUGUGAUGUGAGAGCAAGGGGCCUCUAGCUUAUUGGAUAUGUUGAAUAUUUUACUGGUUUUAUUAUAGAUAUGACUAUUGCUUCUUUCAAACUAUUGGGUAACUUGCCCCUUCCAUAUUUAGUUAUAUAGCUCCAAAAUUUAGUUUUUGCCUAAUGUAACAGAUCUGACCCUUUCUAUGGUACUUAUUUCCUUUUUAUUUACCCUUUACUUUUUGGAAUUGUGGCAUUUGUUUUGGGAUUUUAGCCAGUUCUGUGUCUGUUUGGUUGCCUGUUUCUUCUAGCCAUUUUUGUGUAUGACCUCCUGCUUCCAUCUGGUGGGAAAAGAUUUUGUAUUCUGGACUUUGUUCUUCCACCUCGCUCCCUCUUUUGCACCUGGACCCACACGCUCCAGCAUUUUUUCCUUCCAUCUUAAACUCACCACAACUACAUAGUGUUCGUUGGUGGUUAUUGGAUCACUCUUUAUAAAAUGAGACAGCAGGAUGGCGAUGAAUCCACACCUGCAGUUAAUCAGGUCGAUUAGCAGGCCUUUUAAGCACCCAGCACAGGCUGUGCAGCAUCAGAUUGGUUCAUCAAUACUAGUGGUCACCAUGUCUUCCCUUUCGGACGAGCACUUCACCAGAUUUUGGCUUGACACUUCGUUCACUGUAAUUUCCAUAGUAUGCCCACUCUUCUUCAGUGUUGUAAAUAUUUUUGUAAAUAAACUGUUUGUUCACCGGAGUUGCCUUCUUGUCUGUCUUCUUGGGUCCCGCCUUGAGUUUUUGUUACAGUCAUAACAGGUACUGCCACACACUUCCAUGGACCUUCACGGCCCUUGACCAAAACGGACCAAUUACCAGACAGGAUUUAAAAAAGUAAAUACAAGCAUCAGAAAAAGCAGAUUUAAGUAAUCAUUUGCAAGUGUAUUAACA